UCCUCAGACAGAUUUUGGGGGCAGACGUGUGUCCUUGCUCAGGGGCACCUUUAAUGCUGCCUGGGGUGUGUUGUGUGUGCUGGGCUUGUCAGCGUGGGGAGUGCAGCUGAUAGCGGGCGGCUUCUGGAGGCUUCGGCGAUGGAUCCCGGGGAGAGGGCACAGGGCAGCACGGUUCUCCUCCCAGUCUUGUUCUGCGCUUUCUAAAAAUACUCCUGACAAACAGCUAAUGGGCAUUUUGGCCACACGGCUCUGAGCUGCCGCUGCCAUUUGGAAUGGGGCGUUUCUCUUUCAGACCUGCUCAUCCUGAUGUGUAUAUGAUUGGGAUAGACCUGGCUGUGUCGUGUCCUGGAACUUCACCACGGCCUGCUCACAGGGGCCUUUAAAAAACAAUAAAG
This 395-nucleotide long non-coding RNA is filed under the name Lynx pardinus (Iberian lynx). The record is from RNAcentral. Lineage: Eukaryota; Metazoa; Chordata; Mammalia; Carnivora; Felidae.